Molecule: small RNA, 608 nt
Filed under: Pongo abelii (Sumatran orangutan)
Lineage: Eukaryota; Metazoa; Chordata; Mammalia; Primates; Hominidae
Description: retained intron
Source: RNAcentral
ACUUCUUCUUCGAGGAGACAGCCAGCGAGUUUGACUUCUUUGAGAGGCUCCACACAUCGCGGGUGGCUAGAGUCUGCAAGAAUGACGUGGGCGGCGAAAAGCUGCUGCAGAAGAAGUGGACCACCUUCCUGAAGGCCCAGCUGCUCUGCACCCAGCCGGGGCAGCUGCCCUUCAACGUCAUCCGCCACGCGGUCCUGCUCCCCGCCGAUUCUCCCACAGCUCCCCACAUCUACGCAGUUUUCACCUCCCAGUGGCAGGUUGGCGGGACCAGGAGCUCUGCGGUUUGUGCCUUCUCUCUCUUGGAGAUUGAACGUGUCUUUAAGGGGAAAUACAAAGAGUUGAACAAAGAAACUUCACGCUGGACUACUUAUAGGGGCCCUGAGACCAACCCCCGGCCAGGCAGUGUGAGUACUACCCCCCAUACUGAACACAGUCUACACACACAUGAUGUGCAUGAAAAAACACCUAUCGUGGCAUAGUAAAUGCCCAAUAAAUGUUAGUGUUCUCCACCCCACCAAUCUCGUCUGCUCAGAUGUACACCUGGUAUAGCUGCCUACAUUCCACAUGUGCCUAGCACCCUUUUAUACACAGAGCAGUUGCUGGAGCCA